GAGUUUGAUCGUGGCUCAGGAUGAACGCUGGCGGCGUGCUUAACACAUGCAAGUCGAGCGGAGAUGUUUAAAAGCUUGCUUUAAACAUCUUAGCGGCGGACGGGUGAGUAACGUGUGGGUAACCUGCCUUAUACUGUGGAAUAAUCACUUGAAAAGGUGACUAAUACCGCAUGUGGUCUCUGGAGGGCAUCCUCUGGAGAAGAAGGAUUUAUCGGUAUAAGAUGGACCCGCAUCUGAUUAGCUAGUUGGUGAGAUAAUAGCCCACAAGGCAACGAUCAGUAGCCGA
This 286-nucleotide ribosomal RNA is filed under the name uncultured bacterium. RNAcentral describes it as "partial 16S ribosomal RNA". It matches the Rfam family "Bacterial small subunit ribosomal RNA", at positions 9 to 290 of the family's 1533-position model. The record is from RNAcentral.